This 74-nucleotide small nuclear RNA is filed under the name Notamacropus eugenii (tammar wallaby). Lineage: Eukaryota; Metazoa; Chordata; Mammalia; Diprotodontia; Macropodidae. The record is from RNAcentral.
AAACAGCACAGAAAAAAUUAGCAUGGCCCCUGCAUAGGAAUGAUAUGGAAAUCUAUGAAAUGUUCCAUAUUUCU